This is a non-coding RNA of Parcubacteria group bacterium CG1_02_37_51, 108 nucleotides long. The record is from Rfam.
UUGUAUAUACUGAUCUCACCGUAGACAAUAGGUGGCAAAGGCCUUAAUAUCCUAUCGAGGCAAAUGUAUUUUAUGUCUGCGGUAUUACGCAGUUUUUUUAUUAACUAA